This 524-nucleotide ribosomal RNA is filed under the name uncultured bacterium. RNAcentral's name for it is "partial 16S ribosomal RNA". It matches the Rfam family "Bacterial small subunit ribosomal RNA", at positions 28 to 523 of the family's 1533-position model. The record is from RNAcentral.
GACGAACGCUGGCGGCGUGCCUAAUACAUGCAAGUCGAGCGCAGGAAAUCGACGGAACCCUUCGGGGGGAAGUCGACGGAAUGAGCGGCGGACGGGUGAGUAACACGUAAAGAACCUGCCCUCAGGUCUGGGAUAACCACGAGAAAUCGGGGCUAAUACCGGAUGGGUCAUCGGACCGCAUGGUCCGAGGAUGAAAGGCGCUUCGGCGUCGCCUGGGGAUGGCUUUGCGGUGCAUUAGCUAGUUGGUGGGGUAAUGGCCCACCAAGGCGACGAGGCAUAGCCGCCCUGCGAGGGUGAUCCGCCACACUCGAACUGAGACACGGCCCAGACUCCUACGGGAGGCAGCAGUAGGGAAUCUUCCACAAUGGACUAAAGUCUGAUGGAGCAACGCCGCGUGAACGAUGAAGGCCUUCGGGUCGUAAAGUUCUGUUGUAAGGGAAGAACAAGUGCCGCAGGCAAUGGCGGCACCUUGACGGUACCUUGCGAGAAAGCCACGGCUAACUACGUGCCAGCCGCCGCCGUAA